AUUCCAGCUCCAAUAGCGUAUAUUAAAGUUGUUGCAGUUAAAAAGCUCGUAGUCGAACUUUGGUAGAGUGAAAUGCGUCGGCCGAACGGUCAGUAUGUGUUUUGCGCUACUUCCUUCUGGAGGCUGCGUCUGUUCUUAACUGAGUGGGCGUAGAGUUCAGGAAUUUUACUUUGAGAAAAUUAGAGUGUUCAAAGCAGGCCUAUGCUGUGAAUACAUUAGCAUGGAAUAAUGGAAUAGGACUUUGGUUCUAUUUUGUUGGUUUCUAGAACCGAAGUAAUGAUUAAUAGGGAUAGUUGGGGGCAUUCAUAUUUAAUUGUCAGAGGUGAAAUUCUUGGAUUUAUGAAAGAUGAACUUCUGCGAAAGCAUUUACCAAGGAUGUUUUCAUUA
This 387-nucleotide ribosomal RNA is filed under the name Eukaryota sp. Its description in RNAcentral is "partial small subunit ribosomal RNA". It matches the Rfam family "Eukaryotic small subunit ribosomal RNA", at positions 582 to 975 of the family's 1831-position model. The record is from RNAcentral.